This 225-nucleotide ribosomal RNA is filed under the name uncultured bacterium. RNAcentral describes it as "partial 16S ribosomal RNA". It matches the Rfam family "Bacterial small subunit ribosomal RNA", at positions 28 to 255 of the family's 1533-position model. The record is from RNAcentral.
GACGAACGCUGGCGGCGUGCUUAACACAUGCAAGUCGAGCGGUAAGGCCCUUUCGGGGUACACGAGCGGCGAACGGGUGAGUAACACGUGGGUGACCUGCCCUCAGCUCUGGGAUAAGCCUGGGAAACCGGGUCUAAUACCGGAUAUGACUCCAUGACGCAUGUUGUGGGGUGGAAAGCCUUGUGCGGCUGAGGAUGGGCCCGCGGCCUAUCAGCUUGUGUGGGU